GACUGACUGAGUGCCAGCAGCCGCGGUAAUACGUAGGCGGCAAGCGUUGUCCGGAAUUAUUGGGCGUAAAGGGAGCGCAGGCGGGAAGUUAAGCGGACUUUAAAAGUGCGGGGCUCAACCCCGUGAGGGGGUCCGAACUGACUUUCUUGAGUGCAGGAGAGGGAAGCGGAAUUCCUAGUGUAGCGGUGAAAUGCGUAGAUAUUAGGAAGAACACCAGUGGCGAAGGCGGCUUUCUGGACUGUAACUGACGCUGAGGCUCGAAAGCUAGGGUAGCGAACGGGAUUAGAUACCCCGGUAGUCCUANCCGUAAACGAUGGAUACUANGUGUGGGAGGUAUCGACCCCUUCCGUGCCNGAGUUAACGCAAUAAGUAUCCCGCCUGGGGAGUACGCCGCAAGGUUAAACUCAAA
This 409-nucleotide ribosomal RNA is filed under the name uncultured bacterium. Its description in RNAcentral is "bacterial SSU rRNA". It matches the Rfam family "Bacterial small subunit ribosomal RNA", at positions 495 to 905 of the family's 1533-position model. The record is from RNAcentral.